CUCUUCGCUCACCAUCACUUGCCAACCCGUGUCCCGCCAGCCUCCUCGCCAGCACCAUAGAGCGCCUUACAACUAAAUAAAGACCCGAGACCUCGCGCAAACCAGGGUGCUGCCCUUUCCAGGCAAGAGGGAAGGCAGGCAGAGAUGAGGACAGGAACAGAGACAGAGUGAGAUGGAAGGAUGGAGCUAGGCAAGGAUGGGUGGAAGGAGGGACCCCGGAAGGGAGAGAAAGAGGGAGGGAGGGAGAAAGGGAGGAAAAAGCCAGGGGAGGGAGGGUAGAACAGAUGGAAGGAUGGACGGAGAGACAAAAGGAGCAAGAAACAGAGAACAGAAGGCAGAGACAAAAAAUGUCUUAUGCCUCCAGAACCAACAGGACCCAGAACUCCGGGAAUAUGUUGGGUGCCCAGUACAGGCUGAGUGCUGGGCCCACAGCCCCGUUGGCCGGCGGGGCGCUCAGCGGCCCUCUGGAUCACCAGCCUGGGUUACUUCAUCCCGGAGCAAUUCAGACCAAUUCCGUUUCCGAAGGAAUGAGCGAAUUCCCCAGAGAGCAAUGAGCCGAGACUCAGGUAGUUGUCUGUUUUUCAUCCACAUGGUUCACAGAUGACAUAUCCCCACGUUGAGCCCUGCAACAGAGCUCGAGGCAGAUAGUCCCAUCCACACAGGAGUCACACCCAGGCCAACUGAAGCGUGAUUCUGGAUUCCACGUUUCUUUGCCCUCUGUAAAGGUGCCUGUUGCUCAAGUUUCUGCCCCCCGAAAGCGUGACCAUGUUGACUGUUUGUUUCGCGAGCUCUGUGGGGCCCCAGAAACUUCCAGGAAUGCGUGGAAGACCAGCAUCGUGUCGGUGCUCUCCUUUCCAGUUUUCAAACAGGCUAUAUUGGAGACUCCACAUUGUACAGGAAACAGGAAUCCAUUGUCAGGCCGUGAUGCACGGGAUGUUUCUUUUCUCUGUGGUUUCGCUCUCGUUGUCUACGUGAAAAUGAACGAGAUGAACACACCUGCGUGUGUGAGACUAUCACGGCAACUGUGACACCCAGGCGUUGGCAAUAGAGUUGGCAGCCUGAUCCUGGGACAAAGGUGGUAUGG
This 1084-nucleotide long non-coding RNA is filed under the name Homo sapiens (human). Its description in RNAcentral is "non-protein coding lnc-FOXD4L5-26:1". Lineage: Eukaryota; Metazoa; Chordata; Mammalia; Primates; Hominidae. The record is from RNAcentral.